GCCAGGCAUGGUGGUGGUGCAUGCCUGUAAUCCCAGCUACUCGGGAGGCUGAGGCAGGAGAAUCACUUGAACCCGGGAGACAGAGGUCUCAGUGAGCAGAGAUUGUACCCACUGCACUCCAGCCUGGGUGACAGAGUGAUAUUCUGUCUCAA
Molecule: non-coding RNA, 152 nt
Organism: Papio anubis (olive baboon)
Lineage: Eukaryota; Metazoa; Chordata; Mammalia; Primates; Cercopithecidae
Source: Rfam